GAUGAACGCUGGCGGCGUGCCUAAUACAUGCAAGUCGAGCGAACGGACGAGGAGCUUGCUUCUCUGAUGUUAGCGGCGGGCGGGUGAGUAACACGUGGAUAACCUACCUAUGAGACUGGGAUAACUUCGGGAAACCGUAGCUAAUACCGGAUAAUAUUUUGAACCGCAUGGUUCAAAAGUGAACGACGGUCUUGCUGUCACUUAUAGAUGGAUCCGCGCUGCAUUAGCUAGUUGGUAAGGUAACGGCUUACCAAGGCAACGAUGCAUAGCCGACCUGAGAGGGUGAUCGGCCACACUGGACCUGAGACACGGUCCGGACUCCUACGGGAGGAAGCAGUAGGAAAUCUUCCGCAAUGGGCGAAAGCCUGACGGAGCAACGCCGCGUGAGUGAUGAAGGUCUUCGGAUCGUAAAACUCUGUUAUUAGGGAAGAACAUAUGUGUAAGUAACUGUGCACAUCUUGACGGUACCUAAUCAGAAAGCCACGGCUAACUACGU
This 496-nucleotide ribosomal RNA is filed under the name uncultured bacterium. Its description in RNAcentral is "partial 16S ribosomal RNA". It matches the Rfam family "Bacterial small subunit ribosomal RNA", at positions 28 to 506 of the family's 1533-position model. The record is from RNAcentral.